UACGAAGGGGGCUAGCGUUGUUCGGAAUUACUGGGCGUAAAGCGCACGUAGGCGGAUUGUUAAGUUAGGGGUGAAAUCCCAGGGCUCAACCCUGGAACUGCCUUAAUACUGGCAAUCUCGAGUCCGAGAGAGGUGAGUGGAAUUCCGAGUGUAGAGGUGAAAUUCGUAGAUAUUCGGAAGAACACCAGUGGCGAAGGCGAACUUACUGGACACAUAUUGACGCUGAGGUGCGAAAGCGUGGGGAGCAAACAGG
This 253-nucleotide ribosomal RNA is filed under the name uncultured bacterium. RNAcentral's name for it is "partial 16S ribosomal RNA". It matches the Rfam family "Bacterial small subunit ribosomal RNA", at positions 524 to 776 of the family's 1533-position model. The record is from RNAcentral.